This 1629-nucleotide ribosomal RNA is filed under the name uncultured bacterium. Its description in RNAcentral is "bacterial SSU rRNA". It matches the Rfam family "Bacterial small subunit ribosomal RNA". The record is from RNAcentral.
GAGUUUGAUCCUGGCUCAGGACGAACGCUGGCGGCAUGCCUAACACAUGCAAGUCGAACGGAGUAUGGGAAGCACCAAUUGCUUCCGAAACGAAGUGACCGGGAGGCUUUUGAAGGGAAGACUGUUUGGUUAUCCCGGAGGGAGCGGAACGGAAACGGAGGUAAGCCAGGCGCUUGAAGAAAGUGAUUGGUGCUUUUCAUACUUAGUGGCGAACGGGUGAGUAACGCGUGAGCAACCUGCCUCAAUGAGGGGGAUAACACUUGGAAACAGGUGCUAAUACCGCAUAAGACCACACCGCCGCAUGACGGAGGGGUCAAAGGAGAGAUCCGCAUUGAGAGGGGCUCGCGUCCCAUUAGGUAGAUGGCGGGGUAACGGCCCACCAUGCCGACGAUGGGUAGCCGAGCUGAGAGGCUGAUCGGCCACACUGGAACUGAGACACGGUCCAGACUCCUACGGGAGGCAGCAGUGGGGAAUAUUGGGCAAUGGGCGAAAGCCUGACCCAGCAAUGCCGCGUGAGGGAAGAAGGUCUUCGGAUUGUAAACCUCUGUCCUUGGUGACGAAGGAAGUGACGGUAGCCAAGGAGGAAGCCCCGGCUAACUACGUGCCAGCAGCCGCGGUAAUACGUAGGGGGCGAGCGUUGUCCGGAAUUACUGGGCGUAAAGGGCGUGUAGGCGGCCUGAUAAGUAUGGAGUGAAAGUCCUGCAUUCAAUGUGGGAAUUGCUUUGUAGACUGUCGGGCUUGAGUGCGGAAGUGGUAAGUGGAAUUCCCAGUGUAGCGGUGAAAUGCGUAGAGAUUGGGAGGAACACCAGUGGCGAAGGCGACUUACUGGGCCGUAACUGACGCUGAGGCGCGAAAGCGUGGGGAGCGAACAGGAUUAGAUACCCUGGUAGUCCACGCGGUAAACGAUGAAUGCUAGGUGUUGCGGGUAUCGACCCCUGCAGUGCCGGAGUAAACACAAUAAGCAUUCCGCCUGGGGAGUACGGCCGCAAGGUUGAAACUCAAAGGAAUUGACGGGGGCCCGCACAAGCUGCGGAGCAUGUUGUUUAAUUCGAAGCUACGCGAAGAACCUUACCAGGUCUUGACAUCCGAUUAAAGCCUUAGAGAUAAGGUGUCCCUUCGGGGGAAUCGAGACAGGUGGUGCAUGGUUGUCGUCAGCUCGUGUCGUGAGAUGUUGGGUUAAGUCCCGCAACGAGCGCAACCCUUAUGGUCGGUUACUAACGCGUAGCGGCGAGGACUCUGACAAGACUGCCGGGGACAACUCGGAGGAAGGUGGGGACGACGUCAAAUCAUCAUGCCCCUUAUGUCUUGGGCUACACACGUGCUACAAUGGCUGCAACAAAGGGAAGCGACAGCGCAAGCUGAAGCGGAUCUCAGAAAAACAGUCCCAGUUCGGAUUGUGGGCUGCAACCCGCCCACAUGAAGUCGGAGUUGCUAGUAAUCGCGGAUCAGAAUGCCGCGGUGAAUACGUUCCCGGGCCUUGUACACACCGCCCGUCACACCAUGGGAGUUGGGAGUGCCCGAAGUCAGUAUCCUAACCGCAAGGGGGGAGCUGCCGAAGGCAAGACCAAUGACUGGGGUGAAGUCGUAACAAGGUAGCCGUAUCGGAAGGUGCGGCUGGAUCACCUCCUU